AAAAUAUGUUAAGUUCAGUUCAAAGUUAAUAGAAAAAUGAAUUAGUUAAUGCUCAACACUGGUCGCCUUCUAGUAGAAAGCAUGGGGAUUGAAGCCGAGUUUGCUCGCCUCACCACUGUUGACCUGAAAGGCUGUCUCUUUGCUGGCCUUGACAAGUCUGCAGAGGUUUAUUGAUCUCUACAGAGCCAAGUGUGGUGGAGCUGAAGAAGCUGUUGACAACACUGGAUAGUGAUUGUUCCAACCAAUGGAAAAGGACCAUCGUGCUGAUGGGGCUCCCCGACUACCUCAAAGAUGUUGCAUCC
Alosa sapidissima (American shad) is the source of this 302-nucleotide long non-coding RNA. RefSeq lists it as uncharacterized. The record is from RefSeq and is a predicted model, not a curated record. The transcript has 3 exons. NCBI's taxonomy places the organism in Eukaryota, Metazoa, Chordata, Actinopteri, Clupeiformes, Clupeidae.